RNAcentral lists this ribosomal RNA (306 nucleotides) under uncultured bacterium. Its description in RNAcentral is "partial 16S ribosomal RNA". It matches the Rfam family "Bacterial small subunit ribosomal RNA", at positions 507 to 807 of the family's 1533-position model. The record is from RNAcentral.
GACAGCAGCCGCCGCGGGAAUACGGAGGGUGCAAGCGUUAAUCGGAAUUACUGGGCGUAAAGCGCACGCAGGCGGUCUGACAAGUCAGAUGUGAAAUCCCCGGGCUUAACCUGGGAACUGCAUUUGAAACUGUCAGGCUGGAGUCUUGUAGAGGGGGGUGGAAUUCCAGGUGUAGCGGUGAAAUGCGUAGAGAUCUGGAGGAAUACCGGUGGCGAAGGCGGCCCCCUGGACAAAGACUGACGCUCAGGUGCGAAAGCGUGGGGAGCAAACAGGAUUAGAUACCCCGGUAGUCCCUGUCUCUUAUAC